Molecule: ribosomal RNA, 253 nt
Filed under: uncultured prokaryote
Description: partial 16S ribosomal RNA
Rfam family: Bacterial small subunit ribosomal RNA
Source: RNAcentral
UACAGAGGGUGCAAGCGUUGCUCGGAAUUAUUGGGCGUAAAGGGUAGGUAGGUGGUCUCAUUUGUGUGGGGUGAAAGCCUUGGGCUUAACUCAAGAAGUGCCCCGCAAACGGUGAGACUGGAGUACUGGAGAGGCUAGCGGAAUCCCCGGUGUAGCGGUGAAAUGCGUAGAGAUCGGGAGGAACACCAGAGGCGAAGGCGGCUAGCUGGACAGUUACUGACACUCAACUACGAAAGCGUGGGGAGCAAACAGG